UUAAUAAGCACUGAACGAGCAGAGAGAAGAAAGCAGUUUUUCACGAGAUUGGAAGAGAACCAUCAAGCUUUAGAAGCUGAGAGAAUUCAAUGGAAAGCAAGGACAAAGGAAGAAUGUGAAGCAGCAGUAAAGCAACUGAGGAAGAGUUUGGUGUUUAAGGCCAAUCCAAUGCCAAGCUUCUACCACGAUGGACCACCACCUAAGGCUGAACUAAAA
Molecule: long non-coding RNA, 216 nt
Organism: Ipomoea nil (Japanese morning glory)
Lineage: Eukaryota; Viridiplantae; Streptophyta; Magnoliopsida; Solanales; Convolvulaceae
Exons: 3
Source: RefSeq, a predicted model, not a curated record